This 1088-nucleotide long non-coding RNA is filed under the name Apteryx rowi (Okarito brown kiwi). RNAcentral's name for it is "lncRNA (ENSARWG00000016625.1)". The record is from RNAcentral. Lineage: Eukaryota; Metazoa; Chordata; Aves; Apterygiformes; Apterygidae.
UGCUGACUCUAACCCGGGCAGUUUGGAAGCAAUGCAGUGAAGAAGUGGAGUCAUGGAUUUGCGGGUGUGGGCAGGGGUGUGUGCCACAGCUUGUGUGAGUAACUCGAAUCUCUGGCAGGUUUGCCUGAAGGCAAUAAUCAUGUACUACAACCAGGUAGCUUAAAGUUAGCAUGGGCAUGCCUCCAUGUGCUUCAAUCACAUCUUCAGUUUCAGUAUAGGCAUAGGAUAAAUGGAUGGAGGUAUAAAGGCAUUAAAUGAAAGCACCUAGUCAGAGACAAAGGAAAUGGUAAGAAAAGCCUGAACAAACAAAAGCAGUAGGGUGAUUGCACGAAGGGAUUAGGGUCUGGAUGUAGGCAGGAUCACAAAGGCUAGUGAUUUAAAAGGAAGGGGAAGGCAGAACAAAAUGUUUUGAAGGAAAAAAGCUACUGCAAGCUUCAAAAAGUCAUGGUCAAAUCAGGCUUUUGCUGAAUGAGAGAUAUUUUUUUUUUUAAAUGUGGAAUUGAAGGAAACAAGUGUAGAUAACCACAUGAGCCCUUAGUAACAACACUGUGACCAAGCUGUGUGGUGAGAAAAACUGACUGGGAACUUUCUUCAGACACAAUCUCUUCAUUUAAAAUCCUUUGUCUAGAAGCCUGCAGGUUUCCUCAAAAUGAGAAGAUUUCUGAGAUAAAAAUUUUUGGCUUUUCACAUUACAAGAAUUUCUUCCUUUAUCCUAACCCAAACGACAAGACACAUUCUAGAGCUUUAUUAAUGUGUAAUAAUGAAUAAAAGAAUAAAGUGCCCAUCUCAGGUUUUUGCAAUACUGUUAAGAUGAAGAAUUCAUAGAGGAAUACUAUCAAAUGGAUCAAGGUCAAAAGUAUAAAGCUUUCAGUAAUCUCAACAGAAUCCAAAAUUACAUGCUACCCCCUCUUUCCCUGGUUGUUCGACAUUUUGCUGGUAAAGAAGCUACAUCAAGUUGCCAGCUGCCUGACCUUGAGGGUGUUAAUUUCUGUCUUGAGUGCAGCUGUGACACUCACAGCAAGUGUUCACAACCAAGAUGUCAAAGGAGCUUUACAAAUUGCCAAUCAAAUACAGGAUGCUUGUUGUGA